AACGAUGAAGCUGGUGCUUGCACUGGUGGAUUAGUGGCGAACGGGUGAGUAACACGUGAGCAACCUGCCCCUGACUCUGGGAUAAGCGCUGGAAACGGCGUCUAAUACCGGAUAUGCACUGUAGCCGCAUGGUUUGCGGUGGGAAAGAUUUAUCGGUUGGGGAUGGGCUCGCGGCCUAUCAGCUUGUUGGUGAGGUAAUGGCUCACCAAGGCGUCGACGGGUAGCCGGCCUGAGAGGGUGACCGGCCACACUGGGACUGAGACACGGCCCAGACUCCUACGGGAGGCAGCAGUGGGGAAUAUUGCACAAUGGGCGCAAGCCUGAUGCAGCAACGCCGCGUGAGGGAUGACGGCCUUCGGGUUGUAAACCUCUUUUAGCAGGGAAGAAGCCUUCGGGUGACGGUACUUGCAGAAAAAGCGCCGGCUAACUACGUGCCAGCAGCCGCGGUAAUACGUAGGGCGCAAGCGUUAUCCGGAAUUAUUGGGCGUAAAGAGCUCGUAGGCGGUUUGUCGCGUCUGCUGUGAAAACUGGAGGCUCAACUUCCAGCGUGCAGUGGGUACGGGCAGACUAGAGUGCGGUAGGGGAGAUUGGAAUUCCUGGUGUAGCGGUGGAAUGCGCAGAUAUCAGGAGGAACACCGAUGGCGAAGGCAGAUCUCUGGGCCGUUACUGACGCUGAGGAGCGAAAGGGUGGGGAGCAAACAGGCUUAGAUACCCUGGUAGUCCACCCCGUAAACGUUGGGAACUAGUUGUGGGGGCCUUUCCACGGUCUCUGUGACGCAGCUAACGCAUUAAGUUCCCCGCCUGGGGAGUACGGCCGCAAGGCUAAAACUCAAAGGAAUUGACGGGGACCCGCACAAGCGGCGGAGCAUGCGGAU
Molecule: ribosomal RNA, 875 nt
Filed under: Microbacterium halotolerans
Lineage: Bacteria; Bacillati; Actinomycetota; Actinomycetes; Micrococcales; Microbacteriaceae
Description: bacterial SSU rRNA
Rfam family: Bacterial small subunit ribosomal RNA
Source: RNAcentral